Molecule: ribosomal RNA, 325 nt
Filed under: Bacillus sp. A0020
Lineage: Bacteria; Bacillati; Bacillota; Bacilli; Caryophanales; Bacillaceae
Description: bacterial SSU rRNA
Rfam family: Bacterial small subunit ribosomal RNA
Source: RNAcentral
GACGAACGCUGGCGGCGUGCCUAAUACAUGCAAGUCGAGCGGGGUUAGUUAGAAGCUUGCUUCUAACUAACCUAGCGGCGGACGGGUGAGUAACACGUAGGCAACCUGCCCACAAGACAGGGAUAACUACCGGAAACGGUAGCUAAUACCCGAUACAUCCUUUUCCUGCAUGGGAGAAGGAGGAAAGGCGGAGCAAUCUGUCACUUGUGGAUGGGCCUGCGGCGCAUUAGCUAGUUGGUGGGGUAAAGGCCUACCAAGGCGACGAUGCGUAGCCGACCUGAGAGGGUGAUCGGCCACACUGGGACUGAGACACGGCCCAGACUCC